This 468-nucleotide ribosomal RNA is filed under the name uncultured bacterium. Its description in RNAcentral is "partial 16S ribosomal RNA". It matches the Rfam family "Bacterial small subunit ribosomal RNA", at positions 28 to 507 of the family's 1533-position model. The record is from RNAcentral.
GACGAACGCUGGCGGCGUGCUUAACACAUGCAAGUCGAACGGAAAGGCCCUGAAUUUGUGGGGUGCUAGCGUGGCGAACGGGUGCGUAACACGUGAGUAAACUGCCCUUGACUUUGGGAUAACUUCAGGAAACUGGGGCUAAUACCGGAUAGGAACUCCUGCUGCAUGGUGGGGGUUGGAGAGCUUCGGCGGUUGGGGAAGGACUCGCGGCUUAUCAGCUUGUUGGUGGGGUAGUGGCUUACCAAGGCUUUGCCGGGUAGCCGGCCUUAGAAGUUGACCGGGCACCAUGGGACAUAGAAAAGGACCCGAACCCCUCAGGAUGCAUUAGCUGGUAAACUUAGCCAACGGGCGGAAUACUGAUGCAGGAAAUUCCUGUGCGGUAUUAAGUGCUUAGGGUUUGAACCCCCUUUUGCCCUUGAAUAAGCGUUAGGGGCAUUAAUGGGUAAAGAAGCACCGGCUAACUACGUG